GCAGGACUAUAGGCUCACCACGCCUCGGUACGGUAAGUUAGUCAGCCAUAUUGACUGUACCUCUCCUCCGGUAGUGGGAGCCUGGCGGAGGAGUCUCCAGUAUCACUGUCGGUACGCACCGUGCCCGGUAAACAGCGCAGAGGACGGGAAGGUCUAUUUUUACCCUCGCUGUGGAUAUAUAAAGUACAGCUGCCAGCUGGGGGGGUGACAGCCGGAUACAUCCUCAGCGCAGCCGGGCGAUAGGCGCUGCUGCCCUGAAGAAAGGCAGAAAGACGGACGACGACUUCUUUCAGUUUUCUCAUCAACAGGGGACGGGCCAAGACAGCAGAAAGAUGCCCAAACCUUGAAAACAGUUUGGACACCCCUGCUCUGAAUGAUACCUGUCUGGAAAAGGAUUCAGUUUACUGAGAAACAUCAAUCCAAAGCAGUCACUGAAUUUAAUCCGUGAGUUUGAGAAACGACGAGUCGGGAGAGGAGCUGUGAGGACGGAGAGAAAGAGAAAGUUGGAACCAACGAGUUAGUCUCAGAUUAUCCUCACACACCGACCGCAGGGAAGAAAAAGGCAAACAAAGGGAUAAAAGAGGAUUUGGGACAGGACUGAGUGACAGGCACUUUGUUCAUAUCCAGUCCAGAAAAACGACACCCAAGCCGCCCUCGAGGGGAACUCCCACUCCGGUUACAUUAGGCUUGGCUUUGACAUUAAGCCCGGCAGUUGGACAGUAAACACAUCAACCCUUUCACUGCUUCAUCUGUGCGUUCUCUGCUUGUUUUCUGCUAGAAGACACUUAAAUGUCACACUGGAUUAAGAGCUAAAGCUCAGAGGUCCCUGCAGGCUAAUAAUAAUUGAACAAGUAAGCUAGCACGGGUCGAUUAGCUCAUAGCUAAUGGAGAAGUACAAAAGAGCAAUAUAAAGAGAUGGAGAAGUGUACAGGUGAGGGAAGUGAACCCCCCACAAGGCCUUUAAAGAGUCUCUGCUCUGCGUGCCACUUAGAAACCGUCUGUUGUCUCCCAAAAGGCAAGACUAGCUAAAGGCUAGUCGGCCUCAGGCAUGCUAUUACAAGUGAUUUUGGCCUGGGCCGUAACCCUCCUUUAGGCUGUGUUUUAAAGGGUGUUGCCGUGUUUGCAUGCACCCCUAACACAACAUGGGUGUCUGCUGGUACUCAGGUAUUUAAUGUUGUUCAAGAGGGGGUGUAUAUGAAAUUGGGCUCUGUGUAAGCAUGCGCUAACCAGAACUGGACAAACAGGAAGUGACUACAUCAAAUUAGAAGAGGAAAUGCCAUGAAAUACAAUUCUUUUUAAAAAGAUACUAUAACCAACUUUAAUAAAACAUGAUAAGCUGUACAGAGUAAAUGGGCUUUGUUGCAUGAUCUGACAGUAUUUCAUCAGUAUAGAUUUCUUUAAAGGGAAAUAAUUGCAUUUUUACGUCAUGUUUUUAAGUAUUUUUACUCAAGGCUUAGUUG
Molecule: long non-coding RNA, 1460 nt
Organism: Notothenia coriiceps (black rockcod)
Lineage: Eukaryota; Metazoa; Chordata; Actinopteri; Perciformes; Nototheniidae
Exons: 3
Source: RefSeq, a predicted model, not a curated record